This 235-nucleotide ribosomal RNA is filed under the name uncultured Rhodocyclales bacterium. Its description in RNAcentral is "partial 16S ribosomal RNA". It matches the Rfam family "Bacterial small subunit ribosomal RNA", at positions 99 to 334 of the family's 1533-position model. Lineage: Bacteria; Pseudomonadati; Pseudomonadota; Betaproteobacteria; Rhodocyclales. The record is from RNAcentral.
CGAACGGGUGAGUAAUACAUCGGAACGUGUCGAGAAGAGGGGAUAACCACCCGAAAGGGUGGCUAAUACCGCAUAAAUUCUGAGGAAGAAAGCUGGGGACCUAGGAAUAGGCCUAGCGCUUUUUGAGCGGCCGAUGUCGGAUUAGCUAGUUGGUGAGGUAAAGGCUCACCAAGGCGAAGAUCUGUAGCGGGUCUGAGAGGAUGAUCCGCCACACUGGGACUGAGACACGGCCCAG